UAGCGUAUAUUAAAGUUGUUGCAGUUAAAACGCUCGUAGUCGGAUUUCGGGGCGGGGCUGCCGGUCUGCCGAUAGGUAUGCACUGGCGGGCGCGUCCUUUUUCCCGGAGACGGCUGCUACUCUUAACUGAGCGGUGGUCGGAGACGGGAUGUUUACUUUGAAAAAAUCAGAGUGUUUCAAGCAGGCAGUCGCUCUUGCAUGGAUUAGCAUGGGAUAAUGAAAUAGGACUCUGGUGCUAUUUUGUUGGUUUCGAGCACCGGAGUAAUGAUUAACAGGGACAGUCAGGGGCACUCGUAUUCCGCCGAGAGAGGUGAAAUUCUCAGACCAGCGGAAGACGAACCACUGCGAAAGCAUUUG
This 357-nucleotide ribosomal RNA is filed under the name Isochrysidales sp. RNAcentral's name for it is "SSU rRNA". It matches the Rfam family "Eukaryotic small subunit ribosomal RNA", at positions 595 to 957 of the family's 1831-position model. The record is from RNAcentral. Lineage: Eukaryota; Haptophyta; Isochrysidales.